AGAGCGUAUGGUGGAUGCCUUGGCACUAAGAGCCGAUGAAAGACGUGAUAAGCUGCGAAAAGCUUCGGGGAGGAGCACAUAUCCAAUGAUCCGGAGAUAUCUGAAUGGGGAAACCCGGCAGAGGAAACCUCUGUCAGCGUGCAGUGAAUACAUAGCUGUACGUGGGGAACCCGGGGAACUGAAACAUCUAAGUACCCGGAGGAAGAGAAAGAAAAUUUAUCGAUUUCCAAAGUAGCGGCGAGCGAAAUGGAAAGAGCCCAAACCGUGAUGCGUGCAUCGCGGGGUUCGGACUGCGUUGUGGCAGACGUAAGAUAGGAGAACGGACUGGGAAGUCCGGCCGGAGAGAGUGAAAGCCUCGUAUCCGAAAUCCCAAGUCGCCUAGCAGGAUCCAGAGUAGGACGAGACACGAGAAACCUUGUCUGAACGAGCGGGGACCACCCCGUAAGGCUAAAUACUUCUUAGUGACCGAUAGCGCAUAGUACUGUGAAGGAAAGGUGAAAAGUACCCCGGGAGGGGAGUGAAAGAGAACCUGAAACCCUGUGUCUACAAGCUGUGGGACCUCUUUAUAUGAGGGACUGCGUACUUUUUGUAGAACGGUCCGGCGAGUUGUGCGUACUGGCGAGGUUAAGGACUUAAGGUCUGGAGCCGAAGUGAAAGCAAGCGUUAAUAGCGCGUCAAGUCAGUGAGUGCAGACCCGAAACCGGGUGACCUAUCCAUGUCCAGGUUGAAGCUUCCGUAAGAGGAAGUGGAGGACCGAACCCACAUCCGUUGAAAAGGGUGGGGAUGAGGUGUGGAUAGCGGAGAAAUUCCAAUCGAACCCGGAGAUAGCUGGUUCUCCCCGAAAUAGCUUUAGGGCUAGCGUCGAGGUAAGUUGCGUGAAGGUAGAGCACUGAAUAUGUGAUGGCCCCAUCUCGGGGUACUGAGCAUAAUCAAACUGCGAAUGUCACGCCAACAUGCUCGGCAGUCAGACAGCGGGUGAUAAGGUCCGUUGUCAAGAGGGAAACAGCCCAGACCAUCAGCUAAGGUCCCAAAAUGUAUGCUAAGUGGAAAAGGAUGUGGAGAUGUACAGACAACUAGGAGGUUGGCUCAGAAGCAGCCAUCCUUUAAAGAGUGCGUAACAGCUCACUAGUCGAAUGACUCUGCGCCGAUAAUUUACCGGGGCUAAGCAUACUACCGAAGCUAUGGAUCCCAAGGGAUGGUAGGGGAGCGUUCCAUGAACGGAGAAGCGCGAUCGAGAGGACGCGUGGAGAUCAUGGAAGAGAGAAUGCCGGUGUGAGUAGCGGAACGUGGGUGAGAAUCCCACGCACCGAAAACCCAAGGUUUCCAGAGGAAGGUUCGUCCGCUCUGGGUAAGUCGGGACCUAAGGCGAGGCCGAAAGGCGUAGUCGAUGGACAACAGGUAGAGAUUCCUGUACUCAUAUAUAUGUGAAGGAAUGACGGAGAGAGGAAGCUGCAGCCAGCGGCUGGAAGAGCUGGUGCAAGCGAGAUAUCGGGAUGGCAGGCAAAUCCACCAUCCGAAACGAGAAGGCGUGAAGCGUACGGAAAGCUAAGGCGAGUACGGAAGGCAGUGGAGGAGCUUCCAAGAAAAGUUUCUAACGAAAGUAUAUGUGACCCGUACCGAAAAUGGACACACAUGGGUGAGGAGAGAAUCCUAAGGUGAGCGAGAGAACUAUAGCUAAGGAACUCUGCAAAAUGACUCCGUAACUUAGGGAGAAGGAGUGCUCAUAGAGAUAUGAGCCGCAGUGAAACGGCCCAAGCGACUGUUUACCAAAAACACAGCUCUCUGCUAAAUCGAAAGAUGACGUAUAGGGGGUGACGCCUGCCCGGUGCUGGAAGGUUAAGAGGAGGAGUGAGAGCCCCGAAUCGAAGCCCCAGUAAACGGCGGCCGUAACUAUAACGGUCCUAAGGUAGCGAAAUUCCUUGUCAGGUAAGUUCUGACCCGCACGAAAGGCGUAAUGAUUUGGGCACUGUCUCGACAAUGUACCCGGCGAAAUUGUAGUACUAGUGAAGAUGCUAGUUACCUGCGACAAGACAGAAAGACCCCAUGGAGCUUUACUGCAGCUUGAUACUGGGUUUUGGUAAUUUAUGUACAGGAUAGGUGGGAUACGAAGAAGCAAGUGCGCCAGCAUUUGUGGAGUAGACGUUGGGAUACCACUCUUAAAUUAUUGAAAUUCUAACCUGUGAUCAUGAACUGGUCAGGGGACAAUGUCAGGCGGGCAGUUUGACUGGGGCGGUCGCCUCCUAAAGAGUAACGGAGGCGCCCAAAGGUUUCCUCAGCACGGACAGAAAUCGUGCAAAAGAGUGUAAAGGCAGAAGGAAGCUUAACUGGGAGACUGACAAGUCGAGCAGAUACGAAAGUAGGGCUUAGUGAUCCGGCGGUAGUGAGUGGAAAUGCCGUCGCUCAACGGACAAAAGUUACCCUGGGGAUAACAGGCUUAUCUCCCCCAAGAGUUCACAUCGACGGGGAGGUUUGGCACCUCGAUGUCGGCUCAUCGCAUCCUGGAGCGGAAGUACGUUCCAAGGGUUGGGCUGUUCGCCCAUUAAAGCGGUACGCGAGCUGGGUUCAGAACGUCGUGAGACAGUUCGGUCCUUAUCUGUCGCAGGCGUAGGAUAUUUGAAGGGAGCUGUCCUUAGUACGAGAGGACCAGGAUGGACAUACCGAUGGUGUAUCAGUUGUCACACCAGUGGCACGGCUGAGUAGCUAAGUAUGGAAGGGAUAAACGCUGAAAGCAUCUAAGUGUGAAGCCCACCUUAAGAUAAGAUAUCCCAUUGC
RNAcentral lists this ribosomal RNA (2772 nucleotides) under human gut metagenome. RNAcentral describes it as "bacterial LSU rRNA". It matches the Rfam family "Bacterial large subunit ribosomal RNA". The record is from RNAcentral.